Molecule: small RNA, 93 nt
Filed under: Flavobacterium sp. 120
Lineage: Bacteria; Pseudomonadati; Bacteroidota; Flavobacteriia; Flavobacteriales; Flavobacteriaceae
Description: Flavo-1 RNA
Rfam family: Flavo-1 RNA
Source: RNAcentral
GACUAGCCCUGAUGGAAGCGGCAUCCUUUUUCUUGCUAUUCUGACGAAAGGAAGAAUAGCAAGAAAAAGAUAUAGCGUACAGCAGGAAUUAGC